AUUGAACGCUGGCGGCAGGCUUAACACAUGCAAGUCGAGCGGGGUGAUGGUGCUUGCACUAUCACUUAGCGGCGGACGGGUGAGUAAUGCUUGGGAAUCUGCCUAUUAGUGGGGGACAACAUCUCGAAAGGGAUGCUAAUACCGCAUACGUCCUACGGGAGAAAGCAGGGGAUCACUUGUGACCUUGCGCUAAUAGAUGAGCCUAAGUCGGAUUAGCUAGAUGGUGGGGUAAAGGCCUACCAAGGCGACGAUCUGUAGCGGGUCUGAGAGGAUGAUCCGCCACACUGGGACUGAGACACGGCCCAGACUCCUACGGGAGGCAGCAGUGGGGAAUAUUGGACAAUGGGGGGAACCCUGAUCCAGCCAUGCCGCGUGUGUGAAGAAGGCCUUAUGGUUGCAAAGCACUUUAAGCGAGGAGGAGGCUCUUUUGGUUAAUACCCAAGAUGAGUGGACGUUACUCGCAGAAUAAGCACCGGCUAACUCUGUGCCAGCCGCCGCCGUAA
This 503-nucleotide ribosomal RNA is filed under the name uncultured bacterium. RNAcentral's name for it is "partial 16S ribosomal RNA". It matches the Rfam family "Bacterial small subunit ribosomal RNA", at positions 30 to 523 of the family's 1533-position model. The record is from RNAcentral.